This 72-nucleotide transfer RNA is filed under the name Anaerolineae bacterium. Its description in RNAcentral is "tRNA-Met". It matches the Rfam family "tRNA". From Rfam's summary of the family: Transfer RNA (tRNA) molecules are approximately 80 nucleotides in length. Their secondary structure includes four short double-helical elements and three loops (D, anti-codon, and T loops). Further hydrogen bonds mediate the characteristic L-shaped molecular structure. tRNAs have two regions of fundamental functional importance: the anti-codon, which is responsible for specific mRNA codon recognition, and the 3' end, to which the tRNAs corresponding amino acid is attached (by aminoacyl-tRNA synthetases). tRNAs cope with the degeneracy of the genetic code in two manners: having more than one tRNA (with a specific anti-codon) for a particular amino acid; and 'wobble' base-pairing, i.e. permitting non-standard base-pairing at the 3rd anti-codon position. The record is from RNAcentral. Lineage: Bacteria; Bacillati; Chloroflexota; Anaerolineae.
GGCGAAGUAGCUCAACGGUAGAGCAGUGGACUCAUAAGCCAUGUGUUGGGAGUUCGAUUCUCCCCUUCGCCA